This 2757-nucleotide long non-coding RNA is filed under the name Olea europaea subsp. europaea. Lineage: Eukaryota; Viridiplantae; Streptophyta; Magnoliopsida; Lamiales; Oleaceae. The record is from RNAcentral.
GUUCUUUAUUAUGGAGUUUUGCGUGACGUUAUAGUGCUUGACUAUAAUACGUUUCAUGUUUCAAUAUUCAAGUGUGAUUGGGUAAAUAUUGUGAACGGAAUAAAAAAGGAAGAUGGAUUCACUUUGGUUAAUCUUAACGAAGGACACAAACAAUUUGAAAAUGAUCCGUUCAUUUUGGCAACACAGGCAAAACAAGUAUUUUAUUCUAGGAAAAAUGAAACAUCUAGUUGGCAUGUGGCUUUGCAAGCGCCACAAAGAGACUCUGACGCAUCAGAUUUGGAAGAAGAUACUAAUUAUGAGGUAACUAUUCCACUAGAUAUAUCACAGCCAAUUAUAGACAACCAUGAUGAAGAUGACAAUUAUGCAAGGAUAGAUGUUGAAGGCGUACUAUGUGAUACGUAAAGUAGUUUGGUAACUCCCUUUUUGUAGACAACAUAUUUUUUACAUAAUGAUCAAUUUUUCUAGAAUAUUUUGACAUGUGAUUUAUCUAUCAAUUUAUAUUGCGAUGAAAUGUUGAAUAACAUCUAUUUGUUUUGAUGUUGUAGUUUUUUAUUCUAGCUCUAGAGAACCUUUUCAAUCCGAAAUACAUUUUGUACGAUGGACAAGACUCGGGUAAUUGUGUUUUCUUAUAAUACAUAAGAUAUAUGCUAAGUUUUGAAAAUAAUUUCAUUAAACUUAUGUUUCCAUGUUGUAUUCUCAAAGCCAACUAAACAAACUUCAAAGAGUUCUAAAAGAAGAAGAGCUUCAAUUGCUAAUGCAAUUCGGGAGACAAGUAAGAGACUAAACAAUUCUAGUGAACAAGACAAUAUUAUAACUAGUCCAACUAAUGAUGAGCAAACCACAUUACCAACAACUGUAAAUGCUCCAAAAAAGAAAAGAGGUCCAACACAAGUGAAGAUGAUUCCUGAACAUAAUUAUUAGAAGAUAAAUCUAGAAUUCAAUAAAUAUGGCCAAGUUGUUGGGCAGAAUUCGGAAAAAAUUUCUAGCGUAGUUGGGGCCAUGGUACGAGAACAUGUGCCUAUUGUAAUUAAAGAUUGGACUUCAGUGAAUGAAGAGACUAAAAUGGAGCUCUGGACUUUCAUACAUGUAAUAUUUCGUAACUACCUUUUGAGAUUAUUACGUUGUAUUUAUUUCUUUCUUAAUGAUACCAUUUUCUAAAGUCUUAAAUUCAUGCUUGUGCAUAAAUACAGCAAAGGUUCAAUGUCAGUGAUUGUCAUCAAAGAAUGACAUUUCAAUGUAUGGGAAAGUACUGGAGGACAUUCAAAUCAAGAUUGAGAAAACAAAUUAGAACUCAAGUUGAAUCAUCUAUGAAUAGAGCACGCACUAUUGAAUGUCAACUCUGAAGAAGUCUGGGUUAAAUUUGUUGACGAUACUCUUUCUGCUAAUUUUCAUGUACGUAUAUUUGCAUGUAAAGUUUAACCCUUAUUUUAAUUAUUGUUGUUUUAUACUUCAUUGUUUUUUCAAUAGGAGAGAAGUUCCAGGUUCAGCAACAUGCGAACUAAUUAGAAGCUUCUCCAUACUAUGGGUAGAAAGGGUUAUCCACGUGUGGCUUAUGAAAUGGUACUUCUUACGAACAUAUCAUGUCUUUUUACUUGAAUUGUCCAAUUUCAAUAUAUUUGAUUACUACAUUUGUACUGCAGAAGAAAAAGAAUCCACAUUUAAAAGGGUUAAGAAUAGAAGUAUGGAAAUAUGGACAUCUCAGAAAAGAUGGAAAACCAAUUAAUGAAGCAGUUGCCGAAACAUUGGUAUGUGUAUUAUACUAAUGUUCAAUUAAGCAUAAUUUGAUUUAUUAGUUGUAUCACUUGCUACUAUUUGAUUUGAGUUCCUUAAGUGCAGAAAAAGAUUGAAGAUUGUGCCACAUCAAUUUCCGAUAUGCUUGCAUAAGAUUCUAUCCGUGAUGAUGCUAUAGCUCGAGUUUUUGGUCCCGAACGCUAUGGAAGAGUUAGGGGACCCGGAUUUGGAGUUGUACCAUCAAAAGUGGAUGGAUAAAUACAAAGUAGUGGGAGAGCUAGAGAACUUGAAAGCCAAGUACAGAUUCAGGCACAAAGGAUGGGGGCAUUAGAAGAAAAAAUGGAGGUUUUCUCAGUAGGUUAUAAGUAGUUACUUUUUAUACAUUUUAUGAUUAUAUAGCUUUAUAUAGCCAAUUACAGGUAUAAUAACUUUUGUAAUUUUUGUAUUAUUAUACAAAAUGUGGAGGAUAGGAAUUCAAAUGCUUUUAAUCAGGUUUCCAUUUCCUAUAUUAUUAAAUGUUUAUUUAAUAUAUAUUCAAUUUGUAGCAUUCUAAUUUUAAAAAGAAUACUUUUUGUUUAUUAUGAAUUUGUAGUCACACCAAGGAAGUGGUGUCCAAAGAAGUACUACCCCCAAGACAAAUGCAAGAUGUCAACUGUUGCAUUGGUACAUGUUUGAGGAGGAAGAAGUCGUAGCAGAAGGGAAGAUUGCCACAAGAGAUCCAAGUGCAAAGGUGCAUCACUUGCCACUCGGUCGAGACUGUUGAAAGGUUUGGAUUGAGGAAGUCUAUGUGGGUAAUUUGACCCUAUACAGACCCACAUAUGAAUUCCGCACUCUUAGUGAAGCCAUGGAAAGUACUAUUGCUUGGUCAAAGAGUAGUAUUAGACUUCUUGAUUAAGGUAUUAGACUCUUAGUGGCAAUGGUAAGUUUCGGUUUUUGUAGUUUCCUAAUUACAUUUUGGUAGUACAUAUUUGGAGACUCUUAAUUUUAUUUUGGAAGAGAUUAUGUGUUGAAUAUUUUACAAAUUUA